UAGCAUAUCACUAAGCGGAGGAAAAGAAACUAACUAGGAUUCCCCCAGUAACUGCGAGUGAAGAGGGAAGAGCUCAUCAUUGGAAUCUGGCAGCGUUGCGCUGUCCGAGUUGUAGAUGAGAAGAGUAGGCCAUCUGGGCUGCAUGGUGUCCAAGUACAAUAGGCCGUCAGUGGGACAUCAUAGAGGGUGACAAUCCCGUCCUUGACACCAAUGUACGAGUCCUUUACGAUGCCUAUCUCGGAGAGUCGAGCAGUUUGGGAUUUGCUGCUUAAACAUGGGAGGUAGAUUCCUUCCAAAGCUAAAUACAGGCAAGAGACCGAUAGAGAACAAGUACCGCAAGGGAAAGAUGAAAUAGAACUCUGUGAAGGGAGUCAAAAGACGUGAAAUUGUUGCGAGAGAAGCGAUUCAAGUCAGCGUAGCUGGGCCCAUCAAGCCUCGCGCUUUGGACCAGCUUUGCCAGCGGUCUUGUCCCUAGAGACUUGACUAAGGUGCCCUGCCCGGUCUAACGGGCAGACCUCCCCUGGAGGCCAGUGGCAUGGCUGGUGGAAUGGCUUGCAAUCGACCCGUCUUGAAACACGGACCAAGGAGUCUAACAUGCAUGCGAGUAUAAGGGUGGCAAACCCGUAUGCGCAAAGAAAGUGAUAGCCUUUUAUGGCCGAGAAUGACCUGAUGACCAGACAAGCAAUAUUAUGUCCCUCGUACGGUCAUUGCCCAAGUCCCAUGGUCAGAUCCCAUGGACAUGGAGUUGGAGCGUGCAUGCUAGGACCCGAAAGAUGGUGAACUAUGCCUGGACAAAGCGAAGCCAAAGGAAACUCUGGUGGAGGCUUGUAGCGAUUCUGACGUGCAAAUCGAUCGUCUGAUCUGGGUAUAGGGGCGAAAGACUAAUCGAACCAUCUCAUAGCUGGUUCCUGCA
RNAcentral lists this ribosomal RNA (913 nucleotides) under Cantharellus albus. RNAcentral's name for it is "partial large subunit ribosomal RNA". It matches the Rfam family "Eukaryotic large subunit ribosomal RNA", at positions 36 to 962 of the family's 3401-position model. Lineage: Eukaryota; Fungi; Basidiomycota; Agaricomycetes; Cantharellales; Hydnaceae. The record is from RNAcentral.